Molecule: long non-coding RNA, 1119 nt
Organism: Engraulis encrasicolus (European anchovy)
Lineage: Eukaryota; Metazoa; Chordata; Actinopteri; Clupeiformes; Engraulidae
Exons: 5
Source: RefSeq, a predicted model, not a curated record
AAUGACUAAUCUCGUUGGUUGAGGCAAUAUUGGUCAAAUUAACUGUGACAUUGGUAACUAUUAAACAAACAAAUUGGUUAUCUAACAACUAAUAUCAUUGGUUAAGAACAAAUUGGUUGAUUUAACAAAGAUAUUGGUUAACUUCAAUAACAGAUUGGUUGAAAAAUGACUAAUAUCAUUGGUUAAGCAAAUGUUAACUAAGAGAUUGGUAACUGACGCAGGUCUGACGCUCAACGUCAAGUACGUAACUCUGCUUCUCAAUUUUCUGACAAAGCCGCCAUCUUGGUGCUGCAGGAAAGCCGUUUGAGAUAUUGGUGAAAUUCAAACACUUUGUGAGAUGACAGAAUAUUGCUGAAGGAUCCUACAUGGAAGCUGGCUGAUUACACGGAGUGAUUCCUCUGGUGUGGUGUACCUCAGAGAGAUAAACACUGUUGCAAGAGCUGAGAAGAUAUCCUUAUUACUGGAUGGUUGCUCUCUGGUCGUACUUGAGCCCCCUGGACCAUGUCUGCAAAUGCUUCUGAACAUUGACAGAAUUUCUAAAGGAUCGCUGAGGACUCCCCCUCCAUGCGUGACAUCUUUGAGAAAUUUCCACGCUUUCUGGAGAUGCCAAGUUUGACUGGAACCAACUUUGCAUCCCUCAGCACUGACACUGAGAAGGUUUCAAGGACCCCACUACUAGGAGGCGAGAGUUUGACACGGCAGUGUCAUCACUGCCAUGGAUGACAACGUAACCAUUCCUGUUGAUGAUUGCCUGACUUGCGCAGUGACAAGCUUUUCAUGCUCUACUGGGUGUGUAACUUGGCAUAUCCACCACAGUUUAACUCAGUUUUUGCCUCUUUUGAAUAUGUGUACGAUAUAACCAUCUCAACCAACAAGUGGGCCAAGGUACUGGAACAUUUCUCACUUCAAGUUGCUCUGUAGUCACGGGACAUUUUUUUAAACAUCUACGCAGACACCACCACUCCACACCAUGUGUAUUUUAAUUACUUCUGAUUCCACUGACAUGCAGACUACAUCCUAUGCAAAUUCAGGUAAUUUACCUGGUACUGGAGAAACAGCAUUGUAUGCCAUUCUAAGUGAUACUUGCCUCCUUGUUUUGCAAAAAUGUACUGUUCUUUG